AUACGGAGGAUCCGAGCGUUAUCCGGAUUUAUUGGGUUUAAAGGGUGCGCAGGCGGCCAUUUAAGUCAGCGGUUAAAUCGUGGGGCUCAACCCCAUUCUGCCGUUGAUACUGGGUGGCUUGAUUGCGGUCGAGGUUGGCGGAAUUCGUUGUGUAGCGGUGCAAUGCAUAGAUAUGACGAAGAACACCGAUUGCGUAGGCAGCUGACCAGACCGCAAAUGACGCUCAUGCACGAAAGUGCGGGGAUCGAACAGGAUUAGAUACCCUGGUAGUCCGCACAGUAAACGAUGAUAACUAACCGUCGGCGAUAGAAUGUCGGUGGCCAAGCGAAAGCGAUAAGUUAUCCACCUGGGGAGUACGUUCGCAAGAAUGAAACUCAAAUGAAUUGGCGGGG
Molecule: ribosomal RNA, 392 nt
Filed under: uncultured bacterium
Lineage: Bacteria
Description: partial 16S ribosomal RNA
Rfam family: Bacterial small subunit ribosomal RNA
Source: RNAcentral